CUGCCCCUGUCAGGGGGACAACCCGCCGAAAGGCGGGCUAAACCCGCGUACAUGCCACCGGGGCAUCCCGGAGGCAGGAAAGGCUUCGGCCGGACAGGGAUGGGCAUGCGGCGCAUUAGGCAGUAGGCGGGGUAACGGCCCACCUAACCGACGAUGCGUAGGGGUUCUGAGAGGAAGGUCCCCCACACUGGUACUGAGACACGGACCAGACUCCUACGGGAGGCAGCAGUGAGGAAUAUUGGUCAAUGGUCGGGAGACUGAACCAGCCAAGCCGCGUGAGGGAUGAAGGUACAGAGUAUCGUAAACCUCUUUUGUCAGGGAACAAAGGCGGGGACGUGUCCCCGGAUGAGUGUACCUGAAGAAAAAGCAUCGGCUAACUCCGUGCCAGCAGCCGCGGUAAUACGGAGGAUGCGAGCGUUAUCCGGAUUUAUUGGGUUUAAAGGGUGCGCAGGCGGUCUGUUAAGUCAGCGGUCAAAGCCCGGGGCUCAACCCCGGCCCGCCGUUGAAACUGGCAGUCUCGAGUUGGAGAGAAGUAUGCGGAAUGCGCGGUGUAGCGGUGAAAUGCAUAGAUAUCGCGCAGAACUCCGAUUGCGAAGGCAGCAUGCCGGCUCCACACUGACGCUGAGGCACGAAAGCGUGGGUAUCGAACAGGAUUAGAUACCCUGGUAGUCCACGCAGUAAAC
Molecule: ribosomal RNA, 683 nt
Filed under: uncultured bacterium
Lineage: Bacteria
Description: bacterial SSU rRNA
Rfam family: Bacterial small subunit ribosomal RNA
Source: RNAcentral